This 447-nucleotide ribosomal RNA is filed under the name uncultured bacterium. Its description in RNAcentral is "partial 16S ribosomal RNA". It matches the Rfam family "Bacterial small subunit ribosomal RNA", at positions 29 to 523 of the family's 1533-position model. The record is from RNAcentral.
AGCGAACGCUGGCGGCAGGCCUAACACAUGCAAGUCGAACGGCUCUUCGGAGCAGUGGCGGACGGGUGAGUAACGCGUGGGAACGUGCCCUUUGGUACGGAACAACUGAGGGAAACUUCAGCUAAUACCGUAUGUGCCCUAUGGGGGAAAGAUUUAUCGCCAAAGGAGCGGCCCGCGUUGGAUUAGGUAGUUGGUGGGGUAAAGGCCCACCAAGCCUACGAUCCAUAGCUGGUCUGAGAGGAUGAUCAGCCACACUGGGACUGAGACACGGCCCAGACUCCUACGGGAGGCAGCAGUGGGGAAUCUUGCGCAAUGGGCGAAAGCCUGACGCAGCCAUGCCGCGUGAAUGAUGAAGGUCUUAGGAUUGUAAAAUUCUUUCACCGGGGGAGAUAAUGACGGUACCCGGAGAAGAAGCCCCGGCUAACUUCGUGCCAGCCGCCGCAGUAA